This 8111-nucleotide long non-coding RNA is filed under the name Homo sapiens (human). RNAcentral describes it as "HSALNT0136851". The record is from RNAcentral. Lineage: Eukaryota; Metazoa; Chordata; Mammalia; Primates; Hominidae.
GGGGUCCCUGGGCUUUCCCCUAGGGUCCCAUCAGCUGCUUAUGUUCUACCUUCUGACGGAUCACAGGAGGAGCCUGCAGCGGAGGAGCCUCCUCCUCCUCAGCAUCAGACCUAAAGGGAGUGUCCUGCCUGAAGGACCGGCUCAAGGUCGCACUAACAGCUCUUGCUAACUCCUGUUCCAGGCUGUUUAUCUGGGCCUCCAAGUACCCUGCUUGCGCCUGGAGGUCUCUCACCCCCAGGUCCUGCUCAAAGCUGUGCACUUGGGCCCCCAGGCAUGCGGCUUGCUCCGGAAGGUCCCUUACCUGUGGCACUGAGCAUGUACUUCCUGCAGUGCAGUUAGAAAUGCCCAUCCGACUCUGCUUGCAAAGUUCCUUUAUUUAUAGGCACAGCUGCUUAAAGACUGUUACCGGAAAGGAAUCCUGAUCCAGACGCCAAGAGAGGGUUCUUGGACUCAUGCAAGAAAGACUUCAGCUGGCUGCAGAUGACAGUGACACCCUGGGAGUUGAGAAAUGCUUGUAAGAUGGAAGGAGGCUGUGUCCCUGAAUGAUCACCUGGAAGAGAGCCACCUUAGCCAAUGAAACUCCUGCUAUGAAUGUUUGCUGAGCAAGAAAUAUACUUACUGCUUUAUAUGCCUUUGAAGCUAUAGGUUCAUAUUGUUACCACAAUUUAAAGUGCUAUAAUAAAAAGAGUUCAGGAAGCAGGCACAUGGAAGCAAUAAGAGCAACAAACAUUUACACAGUUCUCAGGUCCCUGGACCAUGAAGGGCCACAUCCAAGGAGCUACCCCAGGAGGCCUCUCAUUUGCAUUUGUCCCCGCUAAUGCAGGACAGAGAUCAUGGAAGUUGGGCCCGACUGGAUGAGAUUUGGGGGUCUUUGGAAGUGGAGAAUGUGUUUGCCCUGGGGAAGAGAGGUGAUGUCUAGGAGACCUCUUCACUCAGGGCAAGCUCUAUGACCUGCUUUGACUCCAGAAUGUGGUAGAAGUGGCAUCACAUAAAUUGCAGAGCCUAGGCUUCAAGAGACCUUGCAACUUGCCUCUCACUGACUUGAAGUGCUCCCAUCAGAGCAUCUUGUAAGGAGCAGGUGGAGCAUGUGGACAAGCCAUCCCCACCAGCCCCUGAGACAUGUGAGAGAGGCCAGAACAGGCCAUCCGGACCCCACUGUGCUGGUGGAUGAGACAGCAGAAGGAAUAUCAACCUACCAACAGAAUCCUGAGAAAUGCUCACUCUUACUUCAAGCUGCUGCAUUUUGAUGUUAUGAAACCAUAAAUAACUUAUGAAGUCAUCUUUGCUGACUUAAAGUUUUCCAUAACUUUAUUAUAACAUAUCAAAAUUAUGAAAAAUGUGAAAAGUAGAAAACUGAUGAAUUUUGCUUCUUCAUAUGGUCUUUAAGAAUCUCAAAGGCACUGAAGUUUUUUAUCUUUUCUGUCUUAGAAUAAAAAACCUUGAAUGAAAAUCUGCUUCUUGGAAAAGCAGCAAGGUUUAUGCAGAGGCAAUCUGGUAUUUGUGUGCACUGGCAGCUGAUCAUACCCAGCAUGCACGCACUCUCAGGGCAGAGUCUGAUGCCCCACAUAAUGGGGCAUGGUAAGGACUCCCAUGUCCUUGAGAUAAAAUGAUAAGGAAAAUACACACUGCUAUUAGAAUAACAGGCCCAGCUUCUGCACAUUUUAAUUCCCAAAGUUUUCAUGAAAGACAAUGAUUUUUUGGUACCAUGUUUAACUCUACAAGAAUCAGUAGUGAAAACUAAAAAUGAUACUUUGUGAAAGUUCAUUAAUUUUGUUUUCAGCCAGUGGUGGCCUUGGUCAGAUAGAAUCAAAUCUAUGAUACUUUUUAUCAGAAAUGCUUAUACUGUGUACAAACCCAAAGUGAUGGCUUUCAAAGAUUGAAUUUGAUUAUUUUCUGUAUGGUGCAGAUGAAAAAUUACUACACAGGAGAAGGUGGGUUGGAGGUGCUCACGAGUAACCAGGAAACAGUCUGAAGUUUUUCUGAUACUUCUCCUUGGUCCAACCAAAUGUGAGAUAUAAACACAAACUUGGGAUUCCGUUCUUAUGUUUUGGUUGUUUCAGUCUUUACAGAUGUAUCGAAAGGCUGUCCAAAAAUGUCUGACUUCUGUAGUGUGCCUUCGUAGCACUAGAGGGUUCUGCAGCUGUGAAACUGAAGGCAUUGGCAAGAAGCCCUCCAUCUUCAAACCACUUUCUGCUAAGGUGUGGCUCUAUAAAACCACUAUGAGCUGGGCUUCACUGAGACUGAGUUGUUUCAGUAGGAUCUUCCGGAAAAACAUGUUCCCUCCUUUACCUGGGUUGUCAUUCUGAGAACAAUCACACCUCCAAUUUUGGCUUACUAAGCAAUAGCGUUUUAAUGAUUUUAAGCCAGGAUUUGCUCCUCCUUUCCUCAGUAUGAGAGCUUAACCACUGGAGGAACCAAGAAUUCAUGCUGGUUGGGUUCUGAUUCCACUUUAACUUACUGUAUAGCCUCAUCCCUUGUUUUUCUGGAGAUUCUCUUUUUCUGCUUCACUGAUUUAUAUUUACAUUAAAAUCAAAUGAGGCCAUGUUUCUGAAAUCACAUUGUCCCUACAUGGUCAUUACAAUGAGUCUGUAAUGUGACUGAAAGACAGCCAUGGAUACAGGUAGAGGAUAUCAGGCAAUUGAAUGCUCAUCAAGCAUUCAAUUCAGGGCAAAUGGCAUAAGGUAUGCAGUUGGCCUCUUCUGAUAUCUGUGUCUUAAUCCUUUCUUUAGCCUCUGUUUUCUGGACCAAGGCUAAGAUAUUUUCUGGGCACAGUGGCUCAUGCCUAUAAUCCCAGCACUCUGGGAGGCCAAGGUGGGAGGAUUUCUUCAGCCCAGGAGUUCGAGACCAGCCUGGGGAACAUAGGAGACCUCAUUCCUACAAAUAAUAAAAAAAAUUAGCCAGCUCUGGUGGCGUGUGCUUAUUGGUCUCAGCUACUUGGGAGGCUGAGGUGGGAGGACUGCUUGAGCCCAGAAGAUCGCAGCUGCAUUGAGCCAUGAUUGUGCCACUGAACCCUAGCCUGAGCAACAGAGCAAGGCCUUAUCUCAAAAAAAAAAAAAAAUUCUGAGCCUUCUAAUUUUUUUUUUCUUUAAUUAACUUUCUGUAAGCCCAGCAAGUAAAUAAAACACUUAUUUUAUGAAGCAUCUAGUUGCUUUUAGGGGAAGGGACAUCCUCCGCAUAGUAUCUAGGCCAGCUCACUUUCUUCUCCUUACUGUUGAUUUACUCUCUGCCAUUGAAUCUUCUGUGCCAAUGUUGGAUUAAUGUUUCCGGGCCCUACUUUCAUCAUGCUCCUCUGUAUUAUCACCUGUUUUGGUUUACAGCAAUGAUUUUUAAGGUAAGGCAUGGUGUGUCCAUCAUAGUCACAUGGGAACUUUUUCAAGCCAUAUUAAAAAUGUCCCCCAUUCAUCAUUCUGCCCCUGGAACAGUGUGUGCAGUUGGGACCUUCAAGUAAAUCUACUUUGUUGAAACCCACUGAUCAGCAUGGUGUAUUUCAUAACUCUUUGACUUACAUUCAAGAAAUUCCUUAACCUGAACUCCAUUUUACUCUUUUUUUCAUUCAUUCAAAUUAAGAAUAUUGCCUGAACAUGAAUUAUCUGCUAGACGUUUUUCUAGGUGCAGGAGGAGUAAGGAUGAACAUAACUAGCCAUAACUAUAGCUAUCAAUUGUGGAGUGUCUGUUAUGUGCCAGGCACUUUUAAGUGACCUACUCGAUUUACUUGCAUGACAAACUGUGAGGAAAAGCCCAAUAUUAUCCCCUAUUAACAGAUGAGGAAACUGAAGCACAAACAGCAUGAAUAGUUUGUUCCAGAUUGCAUCAUAAGAGGCACAGCCAGCUUUCCUACCAAAGCAGCCCUGGCCCAGAGUCCGUACUCCCUCCUCCCCUGCCUCUGCCUGGUGGAUAAGGUCACCCUGGCCUUGUGGAACUUAUGCUCUAGUGGGGACAAAUAGUUAUAGAGAAUGACCGAUGUUACUAAGAAAAUAAAAGCUGGUAAGAAAACAGAAGCACUGAGGAGGUGACUGAAGUGAGCAUUUAUAAUUUUAUGUUAUAUCCAUUGUAAAAUAUAAGUUUAGCUUUCUCAUACCAGAAGCAGGGCUCAGUCCACCCUUGACUCAGUUUCCAAUACUGUUCCCCAUCAGAAUGGCUCUUGCUGGUGGCCAGAAGUAAAACUUAGAAAUAUCUCUCUCAGAGACACCUAAGCAGGCUGGGCUCCCCGGUUUCCUGUUGCUUCCUUUAAAGAAGCUCUUCAGACAUCUGCACAAGAACUCAAAGUGACCACCUCUCAGCCCAGCAUGACCUACUGGAACUAAUGCCUGCUUGCUUUCAACCUACCAAUUAAAGCUCCCCAGGAAACCUGUUUAGAUAACACCCUGGACCCAAGAAAGGUGCUGGGCCAUGGGUUUCUUCUCUCUCUCCCUAUCUGUGCUCCCUGACCCCCUGUGUGUGUGUGGUCUCUAGGCUUGCCUUCUAUCCCUGAGGGUCUGUAAAUACUAAAAACACUUAAACUUUCAUAUUGUAGUUGUGUCUUUGAAGCCAGGUCCCCAUCCCGUACCUUGAGGGCAAGGCCUCCUGGAAGGGACCCAUGUAGGUGGAUCCCCUGCUGUCCAGGCCUCUUAGCUGCUGGGGUAGUGACCAGUUAAGUGGAUAGAGUUUCAUUCAAAACAAUAAUCAUUCAACUGUAUCUCACAUCAAACCUCUGCUCUAGUUUAUGUAUCUACUUUAUGUUCUUAGAAGACUGUGCAAACACAUUGUCUUUUUUGAGUACCUGUCUUGUCCUAGGUACUCUGCUUGGUACGGGGAGAGACGAAUCUUCUGUCUUCAGGGGCUUCCACUCCAGCAGGGAGAACAUGACUAAUAGUGACUGCCUGCUGCUGUAGGUAAUAAGUGGCUCCCACUAGGCCCUCCAUUUGGUGGCCCCCUGUCCCUCUCACUGGUGGAAGCCUACCUGUCCUCUAAGGACCAGCUCACUAAUGUCCUAGAUCCUCACGGACCAGAUUGCUUUUCUCAGAACUGAAGAGCACUUACUAAUGGCACCUCUUGUCAUAUGCCAUCCCAGGAUUUGAAUUUUUUUUUUUUUUCUGUCUUGUGGCCCAAAUAAAUCCUGAACUCCUCGAGGGCUGGGAGUGUAUCUAGCAGUUUCCUUAUACUGGACUAAUCAGAUGCUGACUAGGUAGCAGUGAGAAAAAUCUAGAAAUUCCCUUUUAGCCACAUCGACUUACACGAGGGGAUGUGUGUAAGGUACUAUAGCUCUUUAAACAAGAGGUGGUCUCGUUUGAAGGGUGGAUUGAUGUGGGUGUUCAAAUGAUGUCACAAGUGGCUGGUUUCUCUGUCUCCAUUUCUUUUUUUUUUGGCUCCAUUUCCAAAUUUCCCAGAUAGCACAGCAAGUUGGCCCCAGCAGCUCUAGACACUCCAUCUUCUCAGGGCAUAGCCAACACAAUAAAAUAUUUCAAGUUCCUGAAAGAUAGCUGAAAUAAGCCCUAGAAGUUUCUGGAUUGGGAGCAGAGCCAAACCUGCCAGCUCACAUAGAUGAGGGCAGGGAAUAGGGUGUCUCACGAUCACAGUGUCCUGCCUUCUGAUUUGCCUGGGACUGUCCUGUUUUGGCACCAAAAAUAUCUGCAUCCUAGGAAACCCUCAGGUCCUGGGCAAAUUCAGACAGUGACUUGCCCUAUCAGAAGCAAAGCAAGGUGCCAUUACCUGAGGUGGGCAAAUUCAGACAGUGACUUGCCCUAUCAGAAGCAAAGCAAGGUUGCCAUUACCUGAGGUGGGCAAAUGGAGGCUGGGUGGCCAGUGAGUGACCAAUAACCCCAGCAUUGGAGAGAGUGGAGCAGCCCUUCAAGAAGUUCCAACCUCUGCCCAGGACUGGUUUUACCAACUUCACUAGGCUUAGAAUCGUAGGAAGUCUAUUUGGGACUUGCGAGUCUCACGUAUUCCUGCCUAAAUGUUUAUGGAUACCUGUUUAGAGCUGAAAUCUUUUCAGCUCCCAUAAUAUGAGGGAAUUAGGUCUCAAAGAAGAUCAUGUAUUUUGAUCAGACCUUAUAGCUGAGCAGUGGAAAGAAAAAAAAUCAGUGUGAGAUCUCCCAGGGUUCCGCAGGAGUGGCUUCCUUAGUCCAACUGGCAGCCUAUCCUGGAAUAUUGCCUGGGAGAGAGGUUAGUUGCUUUUCCUGGUGCUAGGAACUGAAUGGUUUUACAUAUUGAUCAAUGAAAAUACUUAUUUGGCCUACAAUAGGUGCAAAAAUACUGCUAAUUACUAACAGUAUCUCUUCUUUGCUGCGUGCCAGACACUCCACUGGGCAUUAUGCAGUUAAUAUGUACCAUGAAUUUCCCGUGGUUAGCAAUGAUGUCAGGCAUAGAAAAGACAUGAAAUUAUGAUGUCAAAUGAAUAAACUGGAAAAAGGAAUUUCUUGAAUUUUCUCCAGCUGUCCUAAGAAUGUAUCUAUACUUUGAUCCUGGCCUACCUUUUCAACAUCUAAACUUUAUUCCCCCAAGCUUCUAGAUAUUCAAAGUUAAGUAUUAAAUAAAAUCAGUAAAUAUAUACAAGCUUGUUUGGCCAUUCUGAAUAAGGUUAUAUUUCCACCACACAAUCUCCAAAUUCUCUAGCAGAAGGGAUCAGUAUGUUAUAGAUACCCCCUUUCCUUCCCUCCCUGGCAAGCCACCACAUCUGUUAUGGGUACUCAAUGCAGUGGCUGCACCUGGGCCUCACUCAUUAAGCAGUUGUUGAUUGAGUGACUGAAUUGAAUGCCUGAUGAGCUCGCAAGUAAGAUUCAGACUGUGCCUGCAAACUAAUAGGAUCCCUCCGCUUUUUAUUCACUACUGCUGAGGUAGAUCUCAGGCCAGCCUGAAGUUUAGGUCUACUGAGAAAUAAUAAGCCUCAAAAAUCGAGCUUUGCUUCACCCAGUCUCCCAGUAAACACUAAGAAAUGUUCACAUUAUUUACACAUCCUAGACUGCCUGUCUUAUGGACCAAAUGUUUGUGUUCUCCCCGCAAUUUAUACAUUGGAAUCCUAACCCUCAAUGUAAUAGCAUUAGGUGCUGGGGUCUUUGGGAGGUGAUUGGCUAAUGGACCUGGAGCCCUCAUGAUGGGAUGAGUCCCCUUAUCAGAAGAGACCUGAGAAGGCUUGCUUCCUCUCCCUGUGCUCUUCAUGAUGUGAAGACACAAGAAGACAGCCAUCUGUGGGCCAGGAAGAGGUCCUCACUGGAACCCAACCAUGCUGGCACCCCAAUCUUGAAUUUCUAGCUUCAAGAACUUGGGAAAUAAAUGUAAGCCAGCCAGCUUAUGGAUUUGUUACAGCAGCCUAAGCUAAGUCAGAGUCUCUAGAACAGCUGGUCUGGGGCAGCGGUGAAGGGAGGUGGGUGGGCAUAUGACCCUGCCCUGCACAUGAAUGGCAAAGGCAACUGGAGAGCCUCUCCCUUUUGGUGAGAUCCCCAGUCCACAAGGGCAUGUUCAUCCAUAGCUUUACUUCCCGAAGCAAAUUCUGGUUCCUGGGGCCUGUGCCUCCAUAGAUGGCAUGAUCUGCAGCCUCCUGUGGUAAUUUACCCUCUUCCUAAAUUUCUGAGUCUUCACAUUUAAGCAAUCCUAGUUAGAUAUCCUCUACCUGUAUCCAUGGCUGUCUUUCAGUCACAUUACAGACUCAUUGUGAUGACCAUGUAGGGACAAUGUGAUUUCAGAAACAUGGCCUCAUUUGAUUUUAAUGUAAAUAUAAAUCAGUGAAGCAGAAAAAGAGAAUCUCCAGAAAAACAAGGGAUGAGGCUGUACAGCAAGUUAAAGUGGAAUCAGAACCCAACUGUAGUCCAUUAUUUGUUUCAAUCCUGCUCUUUUCUACCAUAUCACCCAGUUUCCAAAUCGUUCAGCAAAUUGCCAUGGUCAAUGGGAUUAACCUUUCCCUUUUAUUCUCAGGAAAUCUCCCUUGUCCAUUUUGCAAGACUGUGUGAUUCUUUCUACUGUUACAAGGAAUAAAAGCCUUCCUAAAAAGGUCUUUGGUGCCUUUAUUAUUUUACGGAUCAUUUCUGAGGGAAUUAUUGAACUUCAUUAUGUAACCACCCCUUGGGUUCACCUUGCCCACUGCCUAGACAGAGCCAAUUUAUCCAGACAGGAGAAUUGCAAUGGAGAAAGAGUAAUUC